This 367-nucleotide ribosomal RNA is filed under the name Theileria orientalis. Its description in RNAcentral is "SSU rRNA". It matches the Rfam family "Eukaryotic small subunit ribosomal RNA", at positions 495 to 900 of the family's 1831-position model. Lineage: Eukaryota; Apicomplexa; Aconoidasida; Piroplasmida; Theileriidae. The record is from RNAcentral.
UUAAUGUCUUGUAAUUGGAAUGAUGGGAAUUUAAACCUCUUCCAGAGUAUCAAUUGGAGGGCAAGUCUGGUGCCAGCAGCCGCGGUAAUUCCAGCUCCAAUAGCGUAUAUUAAAAUUGUUGCAGUUAAAAAGCUCGUAGUUGAAUUUCUGCUGCAUUUCAUUUCUCUUUCUGAGUUUGUUUUUGCGGCUUAUUUCGGUUUGAUUUUUUCUUUCCGGAUGAUUACUUUGAGAAAAUUAGAGUGCUCAAAGCAGGCUUUUGCCUUGAAUAGUUUAGCAUGGAAUAAUAAAGUAGGACUUUGGUUCUAUUUUGUUGGUUUUAGGUACCAAAGUAAUGGUUAAUAGGAACAGUUGGGGGCAUUCGUAUUUA